Long non-coding RNA from Gavialis gangeticus (Gharial), 542 nucleotides. RefSeq lists it as uncharacterized. Lineage: Eukaryota; Metazoa; Chordata; Crocodylia; Gavialidae. The transcript has 2 exons. The record is from RefSeq and is a predicted model, not a curated record.
CUGGACCAGCCAGCACUCUCAACCCCCAUCCCACAAGCUGCUUGGGGCGCAGCCAGUUUUAUCAGCAUUCACCACCACUGGAACCAAGCAAGUGGAGCUGGUAGCCCUGCCCAUACUUACAAUUACUUGACAAUUCCCAUCAUAAUAUUCUGUUUUCAGUUGCAUGUGUAUGUGUUUCUGUUUAGUAUUUUAUUGUACUAGUUAAAGAAUGAAUCUGUUUUUAUAUCUUAUAUCUUCUUCCUUUCCUUCCUUAUCUGAAUAGAGAUGUGGAAAGCAGCACAUGAUACCGAGAAAUACCAACUAGGAGACUUAAUGUUCUUCUAGUCCAGGGGUUCUCAACCCUUUUUGUACCAGGACCCAUUUGCAAAUAGCCAGUCCUGAGCCAGUGCCUGUCCUUCUGACCUGCUGCCCCCUCCCCUCAGUGUGUCAGGCAGGGGGGGUAUGUGUGGGACAUAGGGGGCCCCAAGCAACCUCUCGCAGGCUGGAAUUCUGCCAACCUGCAAGGGAAAAGCCACCAUUUCCCACAUUUUCCUCCUUUAAAG